CUGAGUUGUGGUGGUGAUCACAAGUUUGUCUUUUGCUGCUGAUCUUCCAGUAUCCUGACCUGGCUGACUCUCCACUCCUGUCAUGGCUCCCCAUCCAUCCUGGAGCUGAACACCAGAUGGGAGCUGAUGGAUUGUCCUUGGUGGGCCAUCUUCUUGUGUCUGAUGAGAGGGCCAGGAGCAGAUGCACCACGCCUGGCCAGGACCGGGCUAAACAGCCUGUAAUGCUAGACAGUCAGCCCGUGAGGCCAGUUUGCAGAAUGUGGAAGAGCCCUUUGGCGAUGCGUUGGAGGAUUCACCAUGAAGGCGGCAGCAGCGGCAGUGCCUGGGUCCCCA
This is a long non-coding RNA of Malaclemys terrapin pileata, 333 nucleotides long. RefSeq lists it as uncharacterized. The transcript is spliced from 3 exons. The record is from RefSeq and is a predicted model, not a curated record. NCBI's taxonomy places the organism in Eukaryota, Metazoa, Chordata, Testudines, Emydidae.